RNAcentral lists this ribosomal RNA (984 nucleotides) under uncultured bacterium. RNAcentral describes it as "bacterial SSU rRNA". It matches the Rfam family "Bacterial small subunit ribosomal RNA", at positions 487 to 1464 of the family's 1533-position model. The record is from RNAcentral.
GAAGAGGACGGCUAACUCUGUGGCCAGCAGCUGCGGUAAUACCAGAGGUCUCAAGCGUUGUUCGGAUUCAUUGGGCGUAAAGGGGUGCGUAGGUGGGUGAUGCAAGUCUGGUGUGAAAUCUCGGAGCUUAACUCCGAAAUUGCACCGGAUACUGCGUUGCUCGAGGACUGUAGAGGAGAUCGGAAUUCACGGUGUAGCAGUGAAAUGCGUAGAUAUCGUGAGGAAGACCAGUUGCGAAGGCGGAUCUCUGGGCAGUUCCUGACACUGAGGCACGAAGGCCAGGGGAGCAAACGGGAUUAGAUACCCCGGUAGUCCUGGCAGUAAACGGUGCACGUUUGGUGUGGGCGGGUUCAGACCCCGUCCGUGCCGGAGCUAACGCGUUAAACGUGCCGCCUGGGAAGUACGGUCGCAAGAUUAAAACUCAAAGAAAUUGACGGGGGCCCGCACAAGCGGUGGAGUAUGUGGCUUAAUUCGAUGCAACGCGAAGAACCUUACCUGGCCUUGACAUGCAUUGUGUUCCCGGUGAAAGCCGGGUAGCUGGUAGUAAUACCAGCGCCUUGCACAGGUACUGCAUGGCUGUCGUCAGCUCGUGUCGUGAGAUGUUGGGUUAAGUCCCGCAACGAGCGCAACCCCUGUGUCCUGUUGCCCGCAAGGGAUCUCUGGACAGACUGCCCUGUGAAACGGGGAGGAAGGUGGGGAUGACGUCAAGUCAGUAUGGCCCUUACGGCCAGGGCUGCACACGUACUACAAUGCUCAGUACAGAAUGAACCGAAUCCGCAAGGUGGAGGAAAUCCCUAAAACUGGGCCCAGUUCGGAUUGGAGGCUGCAAUUCGCCUCCAUGAAGCCGGAAUCGCUAGUAAUGGCGCAUCAGCUACGGCGCCGUGAAUACGUUCCCGGGCCUUGUACACACCGCCCGUCACAUCAUGGGAGUCGUUUGUAGCCGAAGUACGCGCGCUAACCGCAAGGAGGCAGCGUCCUACGCUA